AACCUGGUUGGGUGGUCUGCCUUCACGGUACGUACUGCCUGGCCGGGUUCUACCUCUUGGUGAGCCGGCAUGCCCUUCACUGGGUGUGUCGGGGAACCAGGACUUUUACCUUGAGAAAAUUAGAGUGUUCAAAGCAGGCCUUUGCCUGGAUACAUUAGCAUGGAAUAAUAAAAUAGGACAUGUGGUUCUAUUUUGUUGGUUUUUAGAGCCGCUGUA
This 216-nucleotide ribosomal RNA is filed under the name uncultured fungus. RNAcentral describes it as "partial small subunit ribosomal RNA". The stretch from base 92 to 216 matches the Rfam family "Eukaryotic small subunit ribosomal RNA", at positions 738 to 864 of the family's 1831-position model. Lineage: Eukaryota; Fungi. The record is from RNAcentral.